RNA transcript from Zingiber officinale, 2377 nucleotides. It is a transcript of the gene named putative pentatricopeptide repeat-containing protein At5g43820, with no coding region annotated. NCBI's taxonomy places the organism in Eukaryota, Viridiplantae, Streptophyta, Magnoliopsida, Zingiberales, Zingiberaceae. The record is from RefSeq and is a predicted model, not a curated record. The transcript is spliced from 4 exons.
CCUCAUCUUCUUAUUCUAGUUUUCCUCUUCUUCUUUUUCUUCUAGUUUCUUUUUAUACUGGUUCCUUCUUCUUCUUCUUCUGGUUUCUUCCUUCUUUUUCCAAAUACUGAUCUGGUUGAAUUGCAGUAUUUGUGUGGUCAAAUUGUUUAAUUCCAAUAGACGUCCGCAUCAAUUGUUGUCGUUUUUUUCCUUUCUUUUUUGUUUUUCUAUAAUAUUGAAUGCUGUCUCUCCGAUUCAAUAGUGUAAUCAAACGUAGGAAUUGAAUACAACGUUCGACUCUAGAUUCCAUUCCAUUUUCAUUCCUAUUCCUAUUGAAAUUCCAUUGGAUCAUCCAUAUGACUUUUCCUGAUGGUGUUUCCACGAAUUCUACGGGCUACUCGCCCUCUUCAUAGUAAUGGCUACAUUCUCCCCCAUAUCGCUUUCAUUACUCGUCGUUUCCUCUUUGUUGAUCCUUCCGAUGGAACUUGCUCUUCUUCUAUGUGCAACUCUACAAUCUCCGAGCAAUUCGUCCUUAAAGAGCUCUCCGACCUCCUCCCUAUUGAUCUUGACCCUCCAAAACCCCGCCUUUUUACUGAGAGGCCAAUGCAAGAGUGCGCAUUGACUAGCCUUCGGGAUCAAAUUCUCUCUCCUGCUGAGAGGCUUAGGGGAGUCUUUCUUCAGAAGUUACCAGGUAGGUCUGCCCUUGAGUCUGCACUCUCAGCCAUCAGCGUCGACCUGACCCACGACAUCUACUCUGAUGUGCUAAACAAGGGAAACCUAGGCGGAGCAGCUAUGGUCUCCUUCUUCAGCUGGGCAAUUCAACAGCCAAAGGUGGUACCGUGUACCAAAACUUACAAUGUGAUGUUGAGGGCCCUUGGCCGGAGGAAGUUCUUUGACUUUGUUGAUGAAAUUUUGCUACGAAUGAAGGAUGAUGAUGUUAAAGUCAAUGCUGAAACCUUGGAGAUUUUAAUGGACAGCUAUGUUAGGGCUCGCCGAGUUUUGAAAGCCGUUGAACUUUUCAAAAAUUUGGCGGAGAUUGGAGCUGAGCGGAAUGUUGAAUCUCUCAAUAUAUUGUUAAAAUGCUUGUUUCGAAGAUCUCAUUUCAAGGUUGCAAAUUCUUUGUUCCACACAACUAAAGGAGAAAUCUCUUUUGACUGUACAACAUAUAAUGAGAUGAUUGGUGGAUGGGCAAAGUUUGGUAGGGUUGAUAAGGUAGAGAGCUAUUGGAUGAUGAUGACAGCAGAUGGUUUCAGCCCUAAUAGUGUGACAUAUAAACACAUCAUUGAGGCAUUUGGACGGGCAGGACGGAUUGAUGAAGCUGUAGAUAUCUUCAAGAAGAUGAAGGAGAAGGAUUGUCCCCAAGAUACCAUUUCUUACAACGCAAUGAUCUCUAACUUCAUAGCACUUGGAGAAUUAGACAAAGGCAUUGAGUACUAUAGAGGCAUGAUAGAGAAGGAAUGCUCACCAAAUAUUGAUACCUACAGUAUAUUGAUUUGUGCACUCCUCAAAGUGAGGAGAGUUGCGGAUGCCCUUGAAAUUUUUGAUGAGAUGGUGUGUUGUGGAAUUUUGCCUAGCACAGGGAUGAUCACUUCCAUCAUUGAGCCUUUAUGUAGCUUUGGACCUCCCCAUGCUGCUAUGGUUAUUUAUAACAAGUGUAGGAAAGCAGGAUGUAAAUUGUCUCUGAGAACUUACAAACUUCUUCUUAUGAGGCUUUCAAGGUUUGGCAAAGUUGGGAUGGUGCUAAAAAUCUGGAAGGAGAUGCAAGAUAAUGGUUAUGAUUCUGAUAAAGAAGUUUAUGAGUACAUUGUUAAUGGACUGUGCAACGUUGGGCAGGUCGAUAAUGCUGUUCUUGUUGUAGAGGAAUCUCUGCGGAGAGGGUUUUGUCUUCCAAGGACCAUCUAUAGCAAACUAAACGGCAAGUUGUUGCAGAUGAAUAAAGUCGAGAGAGCAUACCGCCUCUUUCUGAAAGUGAAAGUGGCACGUAAAAAUGCUAAUUCACGAAGCUAUUGGCGUGCUAAUGGUUGGCAUUUUUGACUGUGAAUGCUGGCCCAGCUGUUUUACUAUGGGAGCCAUAUUUUAUGUGAGAAGUCUGAUGUUAGUGAAAUGCUUUAUUGGCCAAGUUGGUACUCGGGUGGCAAAGUUGCUUCAUUUGACAAUGAUCGAUUUCUGCUGGGUUCAUUCCCUUGAGGAUUAAAUGUCCUUUCACCUAGGAGGUCACUUAGUACUAUGAUUUAUCUCCAUUCAUCUUGCUAUAGGGCUGGCGAUGAGGGACGCUUGAGCUACGCAAGCUGAGUCAAUACAACCAUCCAAAGAAGCAAGCCCUUAAAUGACCUCCCUCAUGGUGUUGACAGCAUGCAGAAGCUUCUCAUGGAGUCAACAAAGCGGACAAGUUGACUGA